UACGGAGGAUUCAAGCGUUAUCCGGAUUUAUUGGGUUUAAAGGGUGCGCAGGCGGAAUGUCAAGUCAGCGGUAAAAUUUCGGGGCUCAACCUCGUCGUGCCGUUGAAACUGACACCCUUGAGUGAGUGAGAAGUAAGCGGAAUGCGUGGUGUAGCGGUGAAAUGCAUAGAUAUCACGCAGAACGCCGAUUGCGAAGGCAGCUUACCGGCGCUCAACUGACGCUGAGGCACGAAAGCGUGGGGAUCGAACAGG
This 252-nucleotide ribosomal RNA is filed under the name uncultured Bacteroidales bacterium. RNAcentral describes it as "partial 16S ribosomal RNA". It matches the Rfam family "Bacterial small subunit ribosomal RNA", at positions 524 to 776 of the family's 1533-position model. The record is from RNAcentral. Lineage: Bacteria; Pseudomonadati; Bacteroidota; Bacteroidia; Bacteroidales.